GUACUCGCUUCAGCAGCACAUGUACUACAACUGGAAUGAUACAGAGAAGAUUAGCAUGGCCCCUGCACAAAGAUGCCAUGCAAAUUCAUGAAGCGUUCCAUAAUACA
Molecule: small nuclear RNA, 107 nt
Organism: Aotus nancymaae (Ma's night monkey)
Lineage: Eukaryota; Metazoa; Chordata; Mammalia; Primates; Aotidae
Source: Ensembl